Molecule: RNA transcript, 4534 nt
Organism: Balaenoptera ricei (Rice's whale)
Lineage: Eukaryota; Metazoa; Chordata; Mammalia; Artiodactyla; Balaenopteridae
Exons: 2
Source: RefSeq, a predicted model, not a curated record
AAGACCCAAGAUUAUCGUUUUGUACAGGAUUUGAGAGCUAUCCACCAAAUUGUAGAGGAUGUACAUUCAGUGAUGCCAGAUCCUUAUACUUUGCUUACAACUUUAUCUGGAGACUUUUGCUGGUUUACAGUUCUGAACUUAAAAGAUGCCUUUUAUUGCAUACCCCUAAGUCCUGAGUCCCAGGAACUGUUUGCCUUUGAGUGAAAUGAUCCAGAGACUAAUAUAAAACAGCAGUAUUGCUGGACUGUACUUCCACAAGGAUUUAAAAAUGCCCCCACCAUCUUUGUGGAGGCCUUAGCCAAGGACUUAAAGGAUCUCCAAUUAAAUGAAGGAAUCUUACUCCAGUAUGUGGGUGAUAUACUAAUCGCUAGUAUAACUAAGGAAGCUUCAGACCAAAAUACAAUCCUCAGUUUAAACUUUUUGGCAGACCGGGGAUAUAAAAUCUCCAAGGGAAAGGCACAAAUUUCUCAACCAGCUGUAAAAUAUCUAGGAAUUGAAUUAUCAAAAGGAGAAAGAAACUUGCUGCCAGAUCGAAGGGAAGCAUUAGCUGGAGUGGAUGUACCCACCACCAGAAAGCAAUUGAGAAGAUUCUUAGGAAUGGCUGGGUUUUGUCGUAUUUGGAUUCCUAACUUCGGACUUAUAGUCAAACCUCUAUAUGAGGCUCUCAAAAGAAAUGCCAAUGAGCCAUUAAGCUGGACUGCGAAAUGCCAUGAGUCAUUCCGUACCAUCAAGGAGAAAAUUUCAACAGCCCCAGCACUUGGUCUCCCAGACAUUAGAAAGUUAUUUGAUCUUUUUGUGCAUGAAAGACAGAGCAUGAGUCUUGGAGUGCUAACUCAAAAUUUAAAUACUGCCAGAAGGCCAGUGGCUUACUUUUCCAAACAAUUGGAUGUUGUAACUCAAGGAUGGCCAGUUUGCCUCCGGGCUAUGGCUGCAACCUGUGACCUUUUACAAGAAGCUGAAAAAUUUACCCUGGGUUGGCCUACCACUGUGCACACGCCACAUCGUGUGCAACUUUUACUUGAACAAAAGGGCCGCUAUUGGCUUACUUUGGGGAGGCUGGGCAAAUACCAGGCCAUACUAUUUGACAACCCAAAGGUAACAUUAAAAGAAGUAUCUGCUUUAAACCCAGCCACUCUGCUCCCCAGAAGAACCUGUUCACGAUUGUACACGAAAACAGAAGAACCUGUUCAUGAUUGUAUACGAAAAAUUGAAGAAGACUAUUCUAGAAGACCUGACCUGACUGAUCAGCCUUUAGAGAAUCCAGAUAUGGAAAUGUUUGCAGUUGGGAACAGCUUCAUGGAUUGUGGACUCCGAAAAGCUGGAUAUGCAAUAACAACUCAUCAGGAGGUCCUAGAAGCAGAAGCCCUCCCUCCAGGUAUGUCUGUCCAGAAGGCAGAGCUCGUAGCCCUCAGGAGAGCCCUGCAUCUUGGAGCUAAGAAAAAGGUAACCAUUUAUACUGCUUCUAAGUAUGCCUUCUCUGUCAUGCAUGCACAUGGGGCCAUGUGGAAAAAGAGAGGUCAACUAACAUCAGGAAAGAAAAAAAUUAAACAUGCAGAGGAGAUACUGGCCUUAUUAAACUCUGUUUUAAUGCUGGAAGAAGUAGCCAUAGUACAUUGCCCGCACCAAAAGACUGAUAGCUGUAUAGCUAAAGGAAAUAAUUUGGCUGAACACGCAGCAAAACAGGCGACCAGAGCCAAACACCCUAGCACUCAUUCAAAGUGUGGACCUGUCCCUGUUUAAGCCUCAUUAUUCAGAAAUGGAUCUAGAGAGAGAUGAUGAAUGGGGAUUUCACGCUGACUCUUGAGACGUAGAUGGUGAUCAGUACCAAACAAACAAGGAAGGCUGGAUAUAUAAUGAACAGGGAUUAGUGCUUAUGCCCCAACAUUUAAUGGAAAGAAUUAUUACUCAUCUACAUCAAGGGAGGGAUGCAACCUAUCAUUGGCUACAAAAGUUUAUUGUUAGUCCAUAAAUGCAAAGGACCAUCCAAAAGGUAAUACAAAAUUGCCUGAUUUGCACCAGAAACAAUCCUAAAGCUGGGCCACCUCCAAUAUUCAAAGAGGUGCAAACCCGAGGGACAGAACCAAGAGAUGCCUGGCAAAUAGACUUUACUGUUAUGCCAAGAGCCAUGGGACAUUAUAGAUAUUUGCUGGUAUUUGUGGACACCUUCACAGGAUGGGUCAAAGCUUUUCUGUGCUAGAGAGAGAAAGCUUCCUAGGUAAAAAGGCCUCACUGAAAGAAAUUAGCCCUCAUUUUGGGUUGCCUCUUUCAAUUCAAAGUGACAGUGGAGGAGCUUUCAUAGCCAAGGUAACUCAAGGGGUAUCUGGGGCCCUCGAACUACAAUAGAAGUUACAUGCUUCAUGGAGCCCUCAUGACUGAAAUGAUGAAUCAUACCUUGAAAGAGACAUUCACCGAAGUAUGUCAAGAAACCAGCUUCACUUGAGAUGAUGUCUUAACAGUUGUCCUGCUGAGGGUAAGAGUAGCCCCUAGAAGCAAGUGCCACUUGAGCCCUUAUGAAACGUUAAUGGGAGACCCUUCCUUAAGACUAAGUAUUAUUGCUGUCUUGAAAGUGAUCUCAUUGUAAAAGAAUUAAAUACUAUAAAAUGUGUACAGUCUCUUGGUGCUAUCUUAUUUUCUGUAUAUAAAUAUGCCUCCAGCCAAUUAACAUUUCCCGCAGACAUUCCUGUGCACUGCAUAAGCCCAGGGAAUUGGGUCCUCCUCAAACUUGUAAAAAUUACUGCCCUGAGGAUCAACUGCAACCCAAGUGGAUUGGAGCCUAUGAAGUCCUUCUGGUUACACAUUCUUCAGUAGAGCUAAAAGGAGUUAAACCUUGGAUACACCCCUCCAGAGUAAAAAUAGUACCCAUUUCUAACCAGCACCCCCCUUGUCCCCUUUACAAUUCCCAAACAGGGCACGCUCUCCAUGGACAGGAGGAAGUAGGAGGACCCAACCUUCCUAACACCAGGGGGGCCUGGAAACCCACUGCUGAUUUCUCGGCCCCUAAUUACACUUGUGAACCCUUAACUGAACUUCAGUUACUUUUCAAAUAGAAACAGGACAGCUAAGUCUCUACCUGGUCAGGAAAAGAAGAUGAGGACAUCUCGAAAGUAGACAGCUCCGCCCAGAAGUCUGGACCAGGCCGAUAUAAAUCCAAAUUCAAUCACUAAGAAUGUUAAAAAUAACAUGUUUUCACUGGUUCCCAAAGAAUAAGGUCUGUUUUUGGAGGACUGUUAAAAUUAGGAAUCAUAGUUCUGUGUAUCAUGGGGUUAAUCUUUUUACUCACCAAAUUUUUUACUUAUUGUCUAUCUCAUAUAUUUAAAAAGGCCUCCCCCACUCACAUGUUGAUUGCCAAAGACCUAAGCGUUCAAAGUGGGACUCAUGAAUAUUUACAAUCAAGUGCAAAAACAAUUUUAUUCCUCUUAUAAAAAUCUAUGCCCCUUCUCAGCAGGAAGCAGCUAGAGCGGUCGUCACCCUAUUUCCCUUAAGAUUGAGGAAUGUACAAAGUAAAAGGGGGGGACUAAAACAGCACAUAAAACAUUGACCGGCUUACCCUGGUUUUGUCUCCUUAAAUAGGUUGUUGACUAAUCAAACCUUGAGUUAUUUUACAGAGACAGCACUCCCAUGUGCAAGACAAGAACCCAUGUCUCCAGGAUGACCCCAGAACCAAGAAUCUUCAGUCUACAGAGCUCAAACAAUAGACAUGUUGCCACUGGAGCCCUUUACCAAGCAAGAAGUUCUUCAUAUAGAAUUGGAGACCCUGGACUUUAAAGUUCGACUUUGGACACUUCCAAAUUUAACAUGCUGUGUGAUCUUAUGGAAGUUGCUUAGGAUUUCUGUGCCUCAGUUUCACUUUCCCCAAGUGUAAAAAAAGAUAAUAAUAAUAGCUCCUUCAAAGGUAGAUUGUAAGGGGGCUUCCCUGGUGGCACAGUGGUUGAGAAUCUGCCUGCCAAUGCAGGGGACACGGGUUCGAGCCCUGGUCUGGGAAGAUCCCACGUGCCGCGGAGCAGCUGGGCCCGUGAGCCACAAUUACUGAGCCUGCGCUUCUGGAGCCUGUGCUCCACAACAAGAGAGGCCGUGACAGUGAGAGGCCCGCGCACCGCGAUGAAGAGUGGCCCCUGCUUGCCAUAACUGGAGAAAGCCCUCGCACAGAAACGAAGACCCAACACAGCCAUAAAUAAAUAAAUAAACAAAUACUUUAAAAAAGGUAGAUUGUAAGGAUUAAAUGAGUUACUAUGCUAAAAAGCUUAGGAAAAUGCUUAACCCAUAGUAAGAGUUCUAAAGAUGACCUAUUAUCAUUAUGGAGGUGUCUUGCCUGCCUUAAGAAGACAUAAUUCUCACUUCUCUAGUUAUCCUUUUUUCCCCAAACACAAAAGCAGGAGGAAAAGCAAACACCUUGUGUUUUUAUUCUCACUGACAUGUUCCUGUAGGCCUCUCAGUAUUAAAAUCAUAUCAUUCAGUAGUGUUGCAUUUGGCUGCUAUAAUCAAGUUAUCUGACUUAGAAUGGGUUUUUUUAAUGGGUUUCUUCUUGUGUUUUUAG